This 305-nucleotide ribosomal RNA is filed under the name uncultured bacterium. RNAcentral describes it as "bacterial SSU rRNA". It matches the Rfam family "Bacterial small subunit ribosomal RNA", at positions 333 to 653 of the family's 1533-position model. The record is from RNAcentral.
UGCAUCCUACGGGAGGCAGCAGUGGGGAAUAUUGGGCAAUGGGCGAAAGCCUGACCCAGCAACGCCGCGUGAAGGAAGAAGGCUUUCGGGUUGUAAACUUCUUUUGACAGGGAAGAGCAGAAGACGGUACCUGUCGAAUAAGCCACGGCUAACUACGUGCCAGCAGCCGCGGUAAUACGUAGGGGGCAAGCGUUAUCCGGAUUUACUGGGUGUAAAGGGGGCGCAGACGGCGAUGCAAGCCAGGAGUGAAAGCCCGGGGCCCAACCCCGGGACUGCUCUUGGAACUGCGUGGCUAGAGUGCAGGG